GACGAACGCUGGCGGCGUGCCUAAUACAUGCAAGUAGAACGCUGAAGGAGGAGCUUGCUUCUCUGGAUGAGUUGCGAACGGGUGAGUAACGCGUAGGUAACCUGCCUGGUAGCGGGGGAUAACUAUUGGAAACGAUAGCUAAUACCGCAUAAGAGUGGAUGUUGCAUGACAUUUACUUAAAAGGUGCAAUUGCAUCACUACCAGAUGGACCUGCGUUGUAUUAGCUAGUUGGUGGGGUAACGGCUCACCAAGGCGACGAUACAUAGCCGACCUGAGAGGGUGAUCGGCCACACUGGGACUGAGACACGGCCCAGACUCCUACGGGAGGCAGCAGUAGGGAAUCUUCGGCAAUGGACGGAAGUCUGACCGAGCAACGCCGCGUGAGUGAAGAAGGUUUUCGGAUCGUAAAGCUCUGUUGUAAGAGAAGAACGAGUGUGAGAGUGGAAAGUUCACACUGUGACGGUAUCUUACCAGAAAGGGACGGCUAACUACGUGCCAGCAGCCGCGGUAAUACGUAGGUCCCGAGCGUUGUCCGGAUUUAUUGGGCGUAAAGCGAGCGCAGGCGGUUAGAUAAGUCUGAAGUUAAAGGCUGUGGCUUAACCAUAGUACGCUUUGGAAACUGUUUAACUUGAGUGCGAGAGGGGAGAGUGGAAUUCCAUGUGUAGCGGUGAAAUGCGUAGAUAUAUGGAGGAACACCGGUGGCGAAAGCGGCUCUCUGGCUUGU
This 724-nucleotide ribosomal RNA is filed under the name uncultured Bacilli bacterium. Its description in RNAcentral is "bacterial SSU rRNA". It matches the Rfam family "Bacterial small subunit ribosomal RNA", at positions 28 to 737 of the family's 1533-position model. Lineage: Bacteria; Bacillati; Bacillota; Bacilli. The record is from RNAcentral.